GGGGUGAGAGGGAGAAACCUGCCGCGGCUCUCCGCCUCUUUGUCUGCUCUGGGACUUGGAACAAAAGGGGAAACUCUGAUGAACUCCUUCUCCAGCUCCCUGGACGCCCGAGUAUCUCUUUCUCGCAACUUUGUCAACGCGACUUUCUCCGCUGUCAGGCUGCGCAAAAGUAUCCUAGCGCCUCGCAGGCUGCAACAAUGGAAACAAUGUCCCUUCAAAGUGCGACGAAGUGGAGGGAGAAGGUGUCAUACCAGCGACUCCAAGAGUCAUGUCACCCACUUAGCAGGAGUACUUCUACUGAAAUGCCUUCGAAUUUCUCUUACUGGAUAUAUACCUACCAGCCGCUAGCAUGAAGAUGCCAGGACCGCUGCAAGUUAGCACUGGACAAAGUAGCAUCAACUUCUUCAUUUAGAGUUUCUUCAGUUAAAUUGCUGGGAUUUUCGACAAGGCUUUCCUUAUGUGGAUUAUUGGAGUGUGAUGCCCGAGAAUUCUCUACUUGUAGAAGCACGCCCACGGGACUGCAGAAGCCUUCACACCCACCCAGCACGCUCAGAAAGUACUGUCUUCAACCUUACCAAUGUCAGUGGCGGCGACGGUGGCGUCACCAUCACCAUCAGAGAAAAAGAAAUAUGCCUUUAUGUCAUGGGUUGAUGGCCUAACACUGGCUUAACACUCAUGUCGGCUGCACUAAUUGAAGUCACAUCCAAGUGGGUCAAUGCACUGAACAUAUCUGAUAUAGAAGGUCCCAGAUCCUGAAUUUUUAUCAAUGGUUUGCUGUAUAAGGCUUGCCUCCCAAAUAGCUGAGGACCCUUAUUUGGGAAGAUACGUUCUGAUGGUUAAGCAACAGCACAGAUGUCGAUGGGAAUGAGUGAUGGCCAUCCAGUGACCAGCUGGAUCUGACUGCCUUACAAGACGCAUGUGUAUGAUUAAGAGAGAGACAUUCGUGACUCCCAGAUGUACCUCCUUCCUGUCCCACAGUGUUCCUGAAGGGAGUGAGUUAUGGGGUAACUUAUAACACAGCAGGCUCUUCCUCAAGAUAGCUCUUGUCAAAACAGGAAGACGAAACUCGGGUUUCCAUGAGGAGACCACAGCUUGGGAUCCUGUCUGGAUGUACAAGCAGAAGCAUCUUCAUACUUUUCCAUUUCUAACCAUCAUGCCUCACCCCACCCUCCCAAGGCGACAUCUGCAGAGAGGAGAAUGAGGAGGAAGAGGAGGAGAAAGAGGAGGAGGAAGUAAGACAGAGGGGGACAAGAGGACCAAGAGGGCACAUGGCUGAGGAGGAGGAGAACAACAACAACAACAACAACAACAACAACAACAAGAAGCUUGGUGGACUCUGGAAUUGGCUAAAGAGAUGAUGACAAACCUUCUCCAGCCAGUGGCCAUGGAUUAGACUUUUUCAGGAUGUGUUCCUGAGUCUCGUGAGUAGCACAUGGCAGUUGUUGUCACCUUGGGCUGAGCCGUGAAGAUUCUCACCCUCCCUUGUUGGGGAUGAACUCCGGGAUUCUAAGGAGAGGUCAGCAGGUGUUUCACAGACUGUUCCUGUUGGAGGAUUUGUCUGAUACUCUUCUCCUGAUUAGUCUGGGCUCUACAUUUCCCCAAGGGUGAAACUUGGAAGCCCUCUCCAGGAUGCAGCAGGUAGCUGAGGAGAAAACGAAGACUGACCAGCCCAGAGCUCAGAGCUUCCUCCCAUGCUCAGGAUUUACCACCAAUGCCAUUACAUCGGCCUCUUCUUGUAUGCCUCUGGAAACCACAUGUGUCCUCUGUUUGUAAUGGUUUGGCUAUGGUUGCUGGCCCCUCUUGGACAUUGUUUUCAGAACUUAAAGAAACAUUGCUUUAAAGAUUUAUUAGAACAUAUUUAAAAUAAAACCAUCUUCUCAUUUAGUAU
This 1888-nucleotide long non-coding RNA is filed under the name Mus musculus (house mouse). Its description in RNAcentral is "RIKEN cDNA 2610307P16 gene". The record is from RNAcentral. Lineage: Eukaryota; Metazoa; Chordata; Mammalia; Rodentia; Muridae.